GUGACUGCCGGUGCAAGCCGGAGGAAGGUGGGGAUGACGUCAAAUCAUCAUGCCCCUUAUGACCUGGGCUACACACGUGCUACAAUGGAUAGUACAAAGGGUCGCGAAGCCGCGAGGUGGAGCUAAUCCCAUAAAACUAUUCUCAGUUCGGAUUGUAGGCUGCAACUCGCCUACAUGAAGCCGGAAUCGCUAGUAAUCGUGGAUCAGCA
This 209-nucleotide ribosomal RNA is filed under the name Escherichia coli. RNAcentral describes it as "partial 16S ribosomal RNA". It matches the Rfam family "Bacterial small subunit ribosomal RNA", at positions 1145 to 1354 of the family's 1533-position model. Lineage: Bacteria; Pseudomonadati; Pseudomonadota; Gammaproteobacteria; Enterobacterales; Enterobacteriaceae. The record is from RNAcentral.